Long non-coding RNA from Hipposideros armiger (great roundleaf bat), 521 nucleotides. RefSeq lists it as uncharacterized. The transcript is spliced from 3 exons. NCBI's taxonomy places the organism in Eukaryota, Metazoa, Chordata, Mammalia, Chiroptera, Hipposideridae. The record is from RefSeq and is a predicted model, not a curated record.
CUUAGCCGUGUGGUUCUGAGCAGGGUCUGUCAGGAGAUUGGGGUCAAGUUGUCGGCUGAGGCUAAGAAAGCAGAGCUGUUGGUUGAAAUCAUCCCCGUAUGUCGUUGGUCAGGAUCGAGUUGAAUCAGGUCCAGCUGAGAGCCUGAGGCACGGGGGCCACUCAGGAUCCUGGCCCAUCCUCACCGCCAGCAGGUCAGAGACGGCAGGGAUGAGAUGCGACCCUCGCUUCUGGUGUCUCCGAGGACCCUGGGUCUCAGGCUCUCAUGGGCACACCACCCACUUGGGCAUCUUGUGAAGGUGCAGAUGCUAAUUCUCUCAAUCUGAAGGGAGCCUGAGAGCCUGAAUCGAGCACAGCGAUCUGAAAACAAUGUUGGGAUUGCUUACAUCCAGAUUAUGGCUCCUCUCACAAGAUUAUCAGGACACUGGGUGACUUCUUUAAAAAUACAGUGAAACUUUGCAUUGCGAGCAACGUGGUUUUUGAGUGUUCCGCAAGAUGAGCAAAUAUCUCUAAUACAUUUUAA